GAUGAACGCUGGCGGCAUGCCUAACACAUGCAAGUCGAACGGACCUUUAUUUUUGAGAGUUCCUUUAUAGAAAUUCUCAAAAUACUGGUUAGUGGCGGACGGGUGAGUAACACGUUGGUACCUACCCUCUAGUGGGGAAUAACUUCGAGAAAUCGAGGCUAAUACCGCAUGUGGUCUACGGAUCAAAGCAGUAAUGCGCUAGAGGAGGGGCCUGCGUCUGAUUAGCUUGUUGGCGAGGUAAAAGCUCACCAAGGCGACGAUCAGUAGCUGGAUCGAGAGGUUGACCAGCCACACUGGGACUGAGAUACGGCCCAGACUCCUACGGGAGGCAGCAGUGAGGAAUCUUCCACAAUGGACGAAAGUCUGAUGGAGCAAUGCCGCGUGCAGGAUGACGGCCUUCGGUUGUAAACUGCUUUAUAUGGUAAGAGUAUGAGUACCGAUAUGAAUAAGGACCGGCUAACUACGUAGCCAGCA
This 474-nucleotide ribosomal RNA is filed under the name uncultured bacterium. RNAcentral describes it as "bacterial SSU rRNA". It matches the Rfam family "Bacterial small subunit ribosomal RNA", at positions 28 to 513 of the family's 1533-position model. The record is from RNAcentral.